RNAcentral lists this non-coding RNA (74 nucleotides) under Methylobacterium platani. RNAcentral's name for it is "Fluoride sequence". It matches the Rfam family "Fluoride riboswitch aptamer (crcB RNA motif)". Lineage: Bacteria; Pseudomonadati; Pseudomonadota; Alphaproteobacteria; Hyphomicrobiales; Methylobacteriaceae. The record is from RNAcentral.
CACCGUCACGGCAAUGGAUUUCUGCCGGGCCAUCGUGGCCGAACCGCCCUCGGGCUGAUGAUUCCUACCUUUUG